This 254-nucleotide ribosomal RNA is filed under the name uncultured bacterium. RNAcentral describes it as "partial 16S ribosomal RNA". It matches the Rfam family "Bacterial small subunit ribosomal RNA", at positions 524 to 777 of the family's 1533-position model. The record is from RNAcentral.
UACGGAGGGUGCAAACGUUGCUCGGAAUCAUUGGGCGUAAAGCGCACGUAGGCGGCCUGAUAAGUCGGGUGUGAAAGCCCUGGGCUCAACCCAGGAAGUGCACUCGAAACUGUCAGGCUUGAAUAUGGAAGAGGGUCGCGGAAUUCCCGGUGUAGAGGUGAAAUUCGUAGAUAUCGGGAGGAACACCGGUGGCGAAGGCGGCGAUCUGGGUCGAUACUGACGCUGAGGUGCGAAAGCGUGGGGAGCAAACGGGG